UACGUAGGGCGCAAGCGUUGUCCGGAAUUAUUGGGCGUAAAGAGCUUGUAGGUGGCUUGUCGCGUCUGCCGUGAAAACCCGAGGCUUAACCUUGGGCGUGCGGUGGGUACGGGCAGGCUAGAGUGCGGUAGGGGAGACUGGAAUUCCUGGUGUAGCGGUGAAAUGCGCAGAUAUCAGGAGGAACACCGAUGGCGAAGGCAGGUCUCUGGGCCGUUACUGACACUGAGAAGCGAAAGCAUGGGGAGCGAACAGG
This 253-nucleotide ribosomal RNA is filed under the name uncultured bacterium. RNAcentral's name for it is "partial 16S ribosomal RNA". It matches the Rfam family "Bacterial small subunit ribosomal RNA", at positions 524 to 776 of the family's 1533-position model. The record is from RNAcentral. RNAcentral also lists the same sequence under 1 other name.